Molecule: long non-coding RNA, 392 nt
Filed under: Vigna radiata
Lineage: Eukaryota; Viridiplantae; Streptophyta; Magnoliopsida; Fabales; Fabaceae
Description: long non-coding RNA (VRAD_LNC007075)
Source: RNAcentral
GCCUAUUAUUAUUUUAAACUUUUGUUUGCCCAAGCAAAUGACUGCAUUGUGAGUCUUUGCCUCUCCUUCAACCUCAUUUCAAUUCUCUCACCCAUUCUUUCUCUCUUCUCUUCUCUUCUCUUCUCUACUUCUUCUUCUUCUUCUUCCCUUUUCUCACUCUGCACUCCAUCUUCUUUUCAAAACCCAUCCCAUCCAUCUCCUUUUCUUCUUCUCUCUUUUCCUUCCUUCUAAUUCCACACACUCAUACCACUUACCUUAAAGUAACCAUAAACAAACCAACACUGUUCUUAGCCCAACAAAAAAUAAAUACAAAUCUCUACUAUUUAUUAACUAUAUUUCCUUCUUUCUCCAUAAUAUAAUCAUUUCUGUUUUCCUUGUUUUCUGUUUUUUUU